This 1540-nucleotide ribosomal RNA is filed under the name metagenome. RNAcentral's name for it is "bacterial SSU rRNA". It matches the Rfam family "Bacterial small subunit ribosomal RNA". The record is from RNAcentral.
AGAGUUUGAUUCUGGCUCAGAACGAACGCUGGCAGCGUGGAUUAGGCAUGCAAGUCGAACGAUAAGUUUUUUCUUCAAUCUUUCGAGAGAGAAGAGAAGAUGGACAGUGGCGAAAGGGUGAGGAACACGUGGGCAAUCUACCUCUAAGUCGGGGACAACCCCGGGAAACUGGGGCUAAUACCGGAUGUGGUCAUUUAUCGCAUGGUAGAUAUAUUAAAGGUGGGGAAUCUUCGGAUCCUGCCGCUUAGAGAGGAGCCCGCGUCCCAUCAGCUUGUUGGUAAGGUAAUGGCUUACCAAGGCUUACGGGUAGCUGGUCUGAGAGGAUGGUCAGCCACACUGGGACUGAGACACUGCCCAGACUCCUACGGGAGGCUGCAGUCGAGAAUCAUUCGCAAUGCGCGAAAGCGUGACGAUGCGACGCUGCGUGGAGGAUGAAGGCCCUAGGGUCGUAAACUCCUGUCAUUUGGGAAAAAUAGUACUUUAGUUAAUAACUUUAGUAUUUGAUGGUACCAAAAGAGGAAGCCACGCUAACUCUGUGCCAGCAGCCGCGGUAAUACAGAGGUGGCGAGCGUUGUUCGGAUUUACUGGGCGUAAAGGGUGCGUAGGUGGUCAUGUGUGUCGGGUGUGAAAGCCCACGGCUCAACCGUGGAAUUGCAUUCGAAACUGCAUGACUUGAGUGUAGGAGGGGUAAGCGGAAUUCUUGGUGUAGCGGUAAAAUGCGUUGAUAUCAAGAAGAACACCGGCGGCGAAGGCGGCUUACUGGAAUACUACUGACACUGAGGCACGAAAGCUAGGGGAGCGAAGAGGAUUAGAUACCCUCGUAGUCCUAGCCGUAAACGGUGCACACUUGGUGUGGAGGGAAUUGACCCCCUCCGUGCCGGAGCUAACGCGUUAAGUGUGCCGCCUGGGGAGUACGGCCGCAAGGCUAAAACUCAAAGAAAUUGACGGGGGCCCGCACAAGCGGAGGAGCAUGUGGCUUAAUUCGAUGCAACGCGAAGAACCUUACCAGGGCUUGACAUAUACCUGCACGCCCCGUGAAAGCGGGGAAGCCUUCGAGGGUGGUAUACAGGUGCUGCAUGGCUGUCGUCAGUUCGUGCCGUGAGGUGUUGGGUUAAGUCCCGCAACGAACGCAACCCUUGUGUUUAGUUGCCACUCCCAGUGUUAAGCUGGGAAGCACUCUAGACAGACUGCCCGUGCAAGCGGGAGGAAGGUGGGGAUGACGUCAAGUCAGUAUGGCCCUUACGCCCUGGGCUGCACACGUGCUACAAUGACAGGUACAAUAGGAAGCAAAACCGCGAGGUGGAGCCAAUCCUCAAAACCUGCCUCAGUUCGGAUUGGAGUCUGCAACUCGACUCCAUGAAGUUGGAUUCGCUAGUAACGGUGUAUCAGCUACGACACCGUGAAUACGUUCCCGGGCCUUGUACACACCGCCCGUCACAUCAUGAAAGCCGUCUGCACCCGAAGUCGCUGAGCCAAUCUUUUACGAGAAGGCAGGUGCCGAAGGUGUGGGUGGUGAUUGGGAUGAAGUCGAAACAAGGUA